AUGGAGAUCCCCCGCAGCCUCGGCGCCCAGGACAACGAGGAGGAGGAGGAGUACGACAGCGUCUUCUACGAGGACAUCGAGGCGCCCAAGUUCGUCGACCUCACCGCGCCCGACGCCGCCUGCCCCGCCGACGACCCCUCCUGGUUCUGCCUCCGCGUAGGCUGCGACCAGAGGCACGAGCACGUCGACCCGGAGGCGCUGCACCGGAGCUUCGUCAUGCGGGUCAUGGCGGCGAGGAGCCCCAACGUGAGGCUGCAGAAGGCCAUCAGCAGGAGAAACCAGAGAUCGGAUUUGUUGACCCCGUGCAGCUCGACGCUGCCGAAAUGCCCCCACUCGGCGCCGGCGAAGCCGCCGAGGACCCGGAUGACCAGGCUGAGCCUGGCGACGGGGGCGGCCGAGAAGGCGGCGAGGGCCGGGCUGCAGGGCCACCGGAUUCGCAGCCUGAGAGAUUCCCCGGUCCGGACCAAGGCGGCGAGGGUCGACGCGUCCAGCGCGAGGAAGAAGGCUCUGACCACGCCCCGGAGCAAGACCGUGCGGCCAAGGCAGGAGCCGUUCCUCAGCGUGAAGCACCAGAAGAAGCCGGUUGCGACGGACGCGGCGGAGAUGAGGGGGACCGUGGUGAAGGCGCUGUUCAUGAGCACGCCCAAGAAGGAGACGCCGGCGAAGAUCCAGGCUCCUCCCGUGGCCGAGGUCUGCUCCAAGAUGAAGAAGCUCAACCUGGCGUGCCGGGAGGUGCCUAGCAGGUACCUGUCGCAGCUGCCCACGCUGAAGAUCGCCAAGAAGUGCGAGGAGACGGCGGCGGUGAAGAGAGUGCAGGAGCCAAGGAGCGGGAAAAAGAUGAUCCUAGGCUGUUCGGCGAAAUGCGCCAACGCCGAAAUAAAUGAAGGGAGCCGAAGUGGCCGUGAGAACAUCAACGCGGAUGAGAACUCGUGUAAACGAACUGCAAGGCGCAAUUGGGGGCAAGAACCCAAGGAGGUGCUGCAGGGACCACGGGUUGAGGUGGCGGAACCAUUGCGGCCCGACAUUCAUGGCGACGACAAGGAGAAUGCGCCGUGCGGUGAUCAGCUCGCCGAGCAAGCCUUGAGUCGGGAAGAAGAAGAUGAAAACAGCAAGCGGUCUGAGAACAGCGAGAAUGCUCCUCAAAAGGUGCUUAAAAGGCAGAACAAGGUAGUGAAUGCGGAGCAGGGAGGAAAGCUUAAGAAGAAUACCAUCCUGAGGCCAUUCAGGCUAAGGACUGAUGAGAGACAGGUAUUGAAAGAUGCAAAUCCAGAAAGAAAACCGACGGCGGCCGAGAAGAACGCCAUGCCAGCACUGAAGGAUGAAAAUAGGCGAUUGGUGCAAACUGGAAGAUGCACUGAUGGAAAGGAAAGAGAAAAACUGACUUGUGGCGAGAAGCAGAGGAAACAAAUUACACACACUGCCACGAAUCGGCUUGGUGAAUCCAAAACGGUUUUGUGUAACAUCCGGCCCAACAAUGUGAGGCCUGCGCUGACUAAAGGAAAAACCAUAGAGAAAUCACAGAGGGCAGCAGCAUCAACGAGAACAGCCAAAAUAACAAGUGGUCUCACAGCACCGUCUCGAAUUGGAGAAAAGAGGAAGGCCUCGGUGAAAACAUCCAGGCUUCAGGAAGCAGCAGCUUGA
Molecule: ribosomal RNA, 1641 nt
Filed under: Triticum aestivum (bread wheat)
Lineage: Eukaryota; Viridiplantae; Streptophyta; Magnoliopsida; Poales; Poaceae
Description: partial small subunit ribosomal RNA
Source: RNAcentral